Molecule: transfer RNA, 67 nt
Filed under: Marmota monax (woodchuck)
Lineage: Eukaryota; Metazoa; Chordata; Mammalia; Rodentia; Sciuridae
Description: tRNA.Ala
Rfam family: tRNA
About the family: Transfer RNA (tRNA) molecules are approximately 80 nucleotides in length. Their secondary structure includes four short double-helical elements and three loops (D, anti-codon, and T loops).
Source: RNAcentral
GGUUGUGGCUCAGAGGUAGAGCACUUGCCUAGCAUGUGUGAAGCACUGGGUUCGAUUCUCAGAACCA